Molecule: long non-coding RNA, 529 nt
Filed under: Homo sapiens (human)
Lineage: Eukaryota; Metazoa; Chordata; Mammalia; Primates; Hominidae
Description: LHRI_LNC488.15
Source: RNAcentral
CUUAGUCGUGUGUACAUCAUUGGGAAUGGAGGGAAAUAAAUGACUGGAUGGUCGCUGCUUUUUAAGUUUCAAAUUGACAUUCCAGACAAGCGGUGCCUGAGCCCGUGCCUGUCUUCAGAUCUUCACAGCACAGUUCCUGGGAAGGUGGAGCCACCAGCCUCUCCUUGCCCUAGCAGAUGCUAAUCCAGCGUGCGUCCUGACAGAGGUUGAAGGGGGCUUCUCAAGUCCCAGGUCCAGCUUGGUGUGGUUCAGCUACUCAAGAGACAUCUGCUGCUAAUGGAUGAGCAGUCAACCUGGACGCAGGAAAUCAUUUUUUAUUUGGAAUAACUGGGAGAUGAAACAGGAAGCUCUAUGACACACUUGAUCGAAUAUGACAGACACCGAAAAUCACGACUCAGCCCCCUCCAGCACCUCUACCUGUUGCCCGCCGAUCACAGCCGGAAUGCAGCUGAAAGAUUCCCUGGGGCCUGGUUCCAACCGCCCACUGUGGACUCUGAGGCCUCUGCAUUUGCGGGUGGUCUGCCUGUGA